CCCCUGUCCGUCACGUGCCUCCUGGGGGAGGCGUGUAACCUGCGACCGCCUCAGCACCAGACGCCUCGGGCCAGCCACCCAGCAAGCCGCCGCCAGCAGAGACUCUACUCGGGACUUCUGCAUGGAAGAUAUCAACAUUGCUCAUCCAGCACCAACUACCCGUUGUGAGGCUAAGUCCUAAGUGAGUAUGGCUGAGAGGUGAGGUUCCCUUUUUCUGAACUCCACUCAGGUAAUGGGGGU
Molecule: long non-coding RNA, 240 nt
Filed under: Ictidomys tridecemlineatus (thirteen-lined ground squirrel)
Lineage: Eukaryota; Metazoa; Chordata; Mammalia; Rodentia; Sciuridae
Description: lncRNA (ENSSTOG00000032356.1)
Source: RNAcentral